This 508-nucleotide long non-coding RNA is filed under the name Mus spretus (western wild mouse). Its description in RNAcentral is "lncRNA (ENSMSPG00010017758.1)". The record is from RNAcentral. Lineage: Eukaryota; Metazoa; Chordata; Mammalia; Rodentia; Muridae.
AGUGACUGCAAGGACAACGUUGCUCUCCCGCCUUCCGCGCUCACUGACAUCUAAACCCUUAAAUGACUCCUGCGUUAGGCAGCAACUGCUUCCUGCUUUAUCUGAAGUCCUAGAGCAGCAACUUGAAUUCUCCAGGCUAAACCUCCACUUCCAAAGCUAAAUAACAGAAAAAGAGAAUUUUAAACCCAAUGAUCUGCAAAAUACAUAUACCCGACAUUCCCCAUUUGGAGUCUGUGCGACAUUUCAGAGUGUGUGUGUACAAAUCUGGUUCCACUUUUCUUGUCCCAAACAUCCCCCAUUCACAGCCUUAAAUGUCCCAAUUAAUAACACACCAUUAUCACCAUCCAGGUUCCCCAAGGUUCAUCCUAGUACCUUCUUAAUUUCUUUCUCCUCUAUGCAGCAAAGUUUGGUACAACCUUCUACCUCAACUUUCAAAGUUCUAAUAGAUGUGUAUUCCAGUCCCUACCACCUUUCCUACAGUGAUCAUGGUCGAAAGCACUAAAACCCU